GGAGGCGUCUGGGUUCCUGGUGGUCCCCCCGGUCUUCAACACCGGUGAGGUCGAGCAGCUCGAUCUGGCGGGUUCGAUUCCCGUCCGCCUCCGCCA
This 96-nucleotide transfer RNA is filed under the name Nakamurella aerolata. RNAcentral describes it as "Nakamurella sp. DB0629 tRNA-Sec". It matches the Rfam family "Selenocysteine transfer RNA". The record is from RNAcentral. Lineage: Bacteria; Bacillati; Actinomycetota; Actinomycetes; Nakamurellales; Nakamurellaceae.